CGAAUGGGGAAACCCAAACCAUUUUGGUUUAUCCCGCAAGGGAGGCAAACCCAGCGAACUGAAAUAUCUAAGUAGCUGGAGGAAAGGACAUCAACCGAGACUCCGUUAGUAGUGACGAGCGAACGCGGACCAGGCCAGUGGCUAAUUUGAAAACAACCAGAAUGACCUGGAAAGGUCAGCCAUAGUGGGUGAUAGCCCCGUAUGGGUAAUGUUUCAUUUUGGUCCUUGAGUAGGGCGGGACACGAGAAAUCCUGCUUGAACAUGGGGGGACCCCUUCCAAGCCUAAGUACUACUCUGGACCGAAGGACA
Molecule: ribosomal RNA, 309 nt
Filed under: uncultured bacterium
Lineage: Bacteria
Description: bacterial LSU rRNA
Rfam family: Bacterial large subunit ribosomal RNA
Source: RNAcentral